CGGCGAGGUCAGUGCUGUGCCGCGCGAGCUCCUGGACAGGGUGGAUCUCGCCGCUCCCGGGUGGUGGUGGUGUUGCUAGCGUUGAGAGAGAGAGCGAGAAAGAAAGAAAGCGAUAGUGGUGGUUCCUCCCCGACCCGUGCACCAUGGAGUACCAGAACGACCAAGACGAGUACAUGGAGCAGGAGGAGGAGUGGGAGAGGGAGGGCCUUCUCGACCCCGCCUGGGAGAAGCAACAGAAAAAGACCUUCACUGCGUGGUGCAACUCUCAUCUUCGCAAGGCGGGCACCCUCAUCGAGAGCAUUGAGGAAGAGUUCAGGAAUGGCCUUAAGCUCAUGCUGCUGCUCGAGGUCAUCUCCGGCGAGACCCUCCCCAAGCCAGACCGCGGCAAGAUGAGGUUCCACAAGAUCGCCAACGUCAACAAAGCUCUCGACUUCAUCGCCAGCAAGGGAGUCAAGCUGGUCUCUAUUGGAGCGGAAGAAAUCGUGGAUGGCAACCUCAAGAUGACUCUGGGUAUGAUCUGGACCAUCAUCCUGCGCUUCGCCAUCCAGGACAUCAGUGUGGAGGAGAUGACCGCCAAGGAGGGUCUGCUGCUCUGGUGCCAGCGUAAGACAGCGCCCUACAAGAACGUCAAUGUCCAGAACUUCCACACCUCCUUCAAGGAUGGCUUGGCCUUCUGUGCACUCAUCCACCGACACAGGCCAGACCUGCUUGACUACUCUCAGCUCUCCAAGGAUGAUCCUCUGCACAACCUCAACCUCGCCUUUGACAUUGCAGAGAAGCACCUUGAUAUCCCCAGGAUGUUGGACCCUGACGACCUGGUCAACACCCCGAAGGCUGAUGAGAGGGCCAUUAUGACCUACGUCUCUUGCUACUAUCAUGCCUUCCAGGGGGCACAGCAGGCGGAAAUGGCUGCCAACCGCAUCUGCAAGGUGCUCAAGGUCAACCAGGAGAAUGAGAGGCUGAUGGAAGAAUAUGAGCGCCUCACCUCUGACCUUCUGGAAUGGAUCCGCCGCACACUGCCCUGGCUUCAGGCCCGCCAGCCCGACAACACCCUGUCUGACCUACAGAAGAAGCUGGAGGAGUACCGCCUCUACCGCCGCAACCACAAGCCUCCCCGUGUGGAGCAGAAGGCUCGCCUGGAGACCAACUUCAAUACCCUCCAGACCAAGCUGAGGCUGUCCAACCGUCCUGCUUACUUGCCCUCUGAGGGGAAGACUGUCACAGACAUUGCCAAUGCCUGGAAGAACUUGGAGGGCUGUGAGAAGUCCUUUGAGGAAUGGCUUCUGUCUGAGAUGAUGAGGCUGGAGAGGCUGGAGCACUUGGCCAAGAAGUUCAAGCACAAGGCACAGAUCCAUGAGACCUGGACCCAUGGCAAGGAGGAGAUGCUCAAGAGCAGCGACUUCCGUCACUGCAAGCUGAAUGAGCUCAAGGCUCUCAAGAAGAAGCACGAGGCCUUUGAGAGUGAUCUUGCUGCCCACCAGGACCGUGUGGAGCAGAUUGCAGCCAUUGCCCAGGAGCUCAAUGCCCUUGAUUACUAUGACUCGGCCACCAUCAACACCCGCUGCCAGUCCAUCUGUGACCAGUGGGAUCGUCUUGGCACCCUCACCACUACUCGCCGCAAUGCACUCGAGGAGACAGAGAAGCUGUUGGAGAAGAUUGACCAACUGCACUUGGAGUUUGCCAAGAGAGCAGCACCUUUCAACAACUGGUUGGAUGGCGCCUGUGAGGACCUGGUGGACAUGUUCAUUGUGCACACCAUUGAGGAGAUCCAGGGACUCAUCGACGCCCACAGCCAAUUCAAGGCCACGUUGGGUGAGGCCGACAAGGAGUACCAGGCCAUCACUGCUCUGGUCACAGAAGUGCAGAACACUGCCCAGAAGUACCAAAUCCCUGGUGCCCUGGACAACCCAUACACCACCCUCACCGCACAGGUCAUCACCAACAAGUGGGGAGAAGUGCGCAAGUUGGUACCCCAGCGUGAUGCAACACUGCAAGCUGAGCUCCAGAAGCAACAGAACAACGAAAGUCUUCGCCGCCAGUUUGCUGAGAAGGCCAACGGUGUGGGGCCAUGGAUAGAGAAGCAGAUGGAUGCCGUGGCUGCCAUUGGCAUGGGCAUGCACGGAUCUGUGUUGGAGGACCAGCUGAACCGUCUCAAGGAUUAUGAGAAUGCCGUCAUCAGCAACAAGGCCAUCAUGGAUGAAAUGGAGAAGAUCCACCAGUCUGUGCAGGAGUCCAUGGUGUUUGAGAACAGGUACACCCAGUACACCAUGGAGACCCUGCGUGUUGGGUGGGAGCAGCUCCUCACUUCCAUCAACCGCACCAUCAAUGAGGUGGAGAACCAGAUCCUGACCAGAGACUCCAAGGGCAUCAGCCAGGAGCAGCUCAAUGAAUUCCGCUCCUCCUUCAACCACUUCGAUAAGAACAGGUGUGGACGUUUAGGCUCCUGAUGAGUUCAAGUCUUGCCUCAUCUCUCUUGGCUACUCUAUUGGCAAGGAUCGACAGGGUGAGAUUGACUUCCAGCGUAUCUGCAGCAUUGUUGAUCCCAACACCACUGGCUACAUUCAGUUUGAUGCUUUCCUGGACUUCAUGACAAGGGAGAAUGUGGACUCUGACACUGCAGAACAGGUCAUCGACUCCUUCAGGAUUCUGGCUGGAGAUAAGCCUUACAUCCUUCCUGAGGAGCUGCAGAGGGAGCUGCCCCCAGACCAGGCAGAAUACUGCAUUCAGCGCAUGCAGCCAUACAGUGGACCCAAUGCCCCACGCGACGCCCUUGACUACAUGUCCUUCUCUACGUCUCUCUAUGGUGAAAGUGACCUGUAGAUCCCCUGACCCAGCUUGAUGUCACCUCUCACCACCACCACCACCACUACCAACCUGCCAGAUGGGGAUGUGGCAGCUUUUCCAGAUGACACUAGUUUGACUUGAUUAAUCUAUGUGCCAUGUGAUGUCUGAAGACACCCAGCACAUGGAUCAUGGCUCAGCCUGCUGGAAGCUGCUCCACCAUAGUGAUGGUGGUGGUGGUGCUGAUGGUGGUGACCAAGGCUACGUAUCACUAUUUCAUAAAAUAAAUUCAUCGUAAACUUAAAGAGAAGCUUCAGCAUCCUACAGUUUGACAACACCUGCAGCUCCCUCCCACUCCCCACCUGAGUCCACCUCAGAGGAUAGGCUUGCAGGUGACUUCUCUUUUCUUUUUUUAGAGAAGAAAAUAUUUUUUUUUUACCUCAAUACAUAAGUAUGAGGAAUGAAAGGAAGAAGCUUUUUUUCUCUAAUUUAAGUUGGAAGUGAAUGAGAUUUGAUAGGCAUUUUUAUUUGUUUGGAGAUAUCCAAACCUAAAAACUAGAGGGUCUUUUCCGUCAGUGGGGAUUUUGGGGGUUACCACUCAGUAUUGGUGCCGUGCUGAAUUCUGCACAAAGGAAGAAAAUCACCAUGUGGACCGGGUAGUUGCGGCAGCGAACGAACUUUGAAAAUAACGAUUACCCCUUUAUGUUCAGAUUUUUCUUCUUGGUGCUUCUAGGGUGUGGAGGGUCAGGGGUGGGGGACAACAACACAUGCCAAGCUCUGCCCCCAACUCUGCCUCCCUCAACUUUCUAUCUCUAGGCUGGGUACACGAAUUUCCCCCAGCACCAACUCCCCUCUUCCCCUUCUACACAUACAUACACACGUACGAACACUGCCGCCUGAAGUGCCUCUUUCCCUCUCCCUCCCAUGUGUGUCUGCCCUUCCUGUCUGUCCCUCUGUACAUUGUCUGACUGACACAUGAACCUGCCAGAAAGCUUGCCACACUGCACCUCAAUAUGCAGCCACAGCAGUUAAUCUUCUGCCAAUGCAAGGUAUUUGUGUGAAGAUAUCAUUUCUAAUGAAAACUUUUGACCAUUAUAAACUUCACAAGCUGAAUGAUGCCUCAUAAUGAAAUGCUAGUUAUACUCUUAAUUGUACUUUUGUCAUCAAUUAGAAAAGAAGGCAAAUUGGUAACCAGUACAAAGACAUGAGGUGCCUUAACAUAAUCAAGGCUGUUUGAAAAAAAAAUUGGCACCUUUCUGUGGCAGCAGCAGAGGUGGCAGUCUGCAGUGGUGUGGCAAGGCACUGAAGGGCCAUGUGCUGUCAUGGUGUAACCCAGGAAUCUAGUCUGUGACGCUGUGGCCGCCUGUAAGCUGCUUCCUCUGUAAAUACAAUUGUGUACUAUCCUUCCUUUCUUCUGCUAAUUUAAUUUGUCAUAGGGCAUGUGAUGUGUAUAUUGCCACUAUAUCUUAUGUUUGCUCCACUGCUAUUUGAUUUUUGUAUAAUACACCCACCAUUCUGCCUUUAUGUUGGAAUUUCAUUAAAAAAUUUUGCCGACAACAGAGGAAGCUCUGCCAGCUUCCUCUGUUGAACAUACAAUGCGCCUUAUUUGUGCAAGCGCCUCUAGGCACACUGCGAUCUUGCAGUCUCUUGCGUCCAUUUCUUGGUAAAUCUACUGUAAUUACUGUGUUUAUUUAUUGUUAAUGGCAACAAUUGAUGGCUAGGAACGCAAUGACGGGCUAAUUAUUAUUUUUUAAUGUCAAACUACGAAAUCUUGUACUUGUUCCUGUGAGACCAACUAAAUAAACAUUACUAAAUAA
Molecule: unclassified non-coding RNA, 4598 nt
Filed under: Portunus trituberculatus (swimming crab)
Lineage: Eukaryota; Metazoa; Arthropoda; Malacostraca; Decapoda; Portunidae
Description: alpha-actinin, sarcomeric-like, transcript variant X3
Source: RNAcentral